UACAGUAGCAGUAGUUAAAAGGCUUAAAGAUGGUAAUGCCAUUGGUGGUAAGAUUCAAUUCCAAACUGAAGUUGAGAUGAUCAGCCUGGCAGUUCACAGGAACCUUCUUUGGCUUUACGGGUUUUGUAUGACGGCCUCUAAGAGGCUCUUAGUUUACCCCUAUAUGUCAAACAGCAGUGUUGCCUCCCGCCUCAAAGCUAAGCAUAUGGACUCACAAUAAAGACAAGUGCACAAAGGAUGAUGAAUUGAAGGAUGGAGCAAGUUUCAUGCAUGAUUUACUUUUGUGUAUCUUGUAAUGUUUUUGUUUUUCAUUUUUGAAGUAAAAAAUGUUCAAGAUUAUAAAACUUUAUUAUGUUAUGCUUUCAAACUUAAGUUAGAACUAAGAUCUCAUGAAGUAGACACAUUCAUGGUUUGAAUUAGUUAUUGUUUAAUGUAAUACUUAUGGUUUAUCAAUCUAUUGAGAAUUAUAUUUUA
Molecule: long non-coding RNA, 474 nt
Organism: Humulus lupulus (European hop)
Lineage: Eukaryota; Viridiplantae; Streptophyta; Magnoliopsida; Rosales; Cannabaceae
Exons: 2
Source: RefSeq, a predicted model, not a curated record